RNAcentral lists this unclassified non-coding RNA (245 nucleotides) under Hevea brasiliensis (rubber tree). Lineage: Eukaryota; Viridiplantae; Streptophyta; Magnoliopsida; Malpighiales; Euphorbiaceae. The record is from RNAcentral.
UUUUUAUUUUGCUCUGUUUUAUUUCUUUUUCUUCUUCUUUUUGAUUUUUUGUUUUAUUUUUGCUAUUUCUUCAUUUUUCCAUGAAUAUUAGAUUAUAAUGACUUUUCCAAUAAAAAUUUUGCUAAAGUUACUCUGUAUCUUGUGAUAAUUUAUCUCACAACCUUGGAUUAGGGACUUAGGGUCUGUGACAGAUAUUCAGGGCUGAUUUAUAACAUUAGAAUUUGAGAACAAGUAUUGGAAAGCUG